This 460-nucleotide ribosomal RNA is filed under the name uncultured bacterium. Its description in RNAcentral is "partial 16S ribosomal RNA". It matches the Rfam family "Bacterial small subunit ribosomal RNA", at positions 338 to 795 of the family's 1533-position model. The record is from RNAcentral.
CCUACGGGUGGCAGCAGUGAGGAAUAUUGGUCAAUGGGCGCGAGCCUGAACCAGCCAAGUAGCGUGAAGGAUGACUGCCCUACGGGUUGUAAACUUCUUUUAUAAAGGAAUAAAGUGAGGCACGUGUGCCUUUUUGUAUGUACUUUAUGAAUAAGGAUCGGCUAACUCCGUGCCAGCCGCCGCGGUAAUACGGAGGAUCCGAGCGUUAUCCGGAUUUAUUGGGUUUAAAGGGAGCGUAGGUGGGUUUUUAAGCCUGUUGUGAAAGUGUUCGGCUCAACCGUAAAAUUGCAAUGGAUACUGGCGGGCUUGAGUACAGUUGAGGUAGGCGGAAUUCGUGGUGUAGCGGUGAAAUGCUUAGAUAUCACGAAGAACUCCGAUUGCGAAGGCAGCUUACUAAACUGUCACUGACGCUGAGGCUCGAAAGUGUGGGUAUCAAACAGGAUUAGAUACCCUAGUAGUC